GUUCCCUGACCGGGAACAGCAGAAGAGAGACUGCCAGUGAGUCCCCUGCCAUUCGCAGACUGGACUGCGUACUGGAUUAAUUCCUCACUUCUCAACACUUGGGAGCUGAUAAACUUGUCACUGCUGGUUUGCAAACAACACCGGUCUAAUUCAUUUACUACAGAAAUAGCAGUGACACUUGGAGUUCUGAGACAGGUAAACCGGCACAAGGUGGAGCUGCCUGGGCCCCCCGUGGACCAUGCCUCAAAUGCAGCUGAAGACAUUGGGCAAGAGAGUGCCCCAUCCUGG
RNAcentral lists this long non-coding RNA (288 nucleotides) under Cavia porcellus (domestic guinea pig). RNAcentral describes it as "lncRNA (ENSCPOG00000033384.1)". Lineage: Eukaryota; Metazoa; Chordata; Mammalia; Rodentia; Caviidae. The record is from RNAcentral.